AACGAACGCUGGCGGCGCGCCUAAUACAUGCAAGUCGAGCGAGAAGGUGUAGCAAUACACUUGUAAAGCGGCGAACGGGUGAGGAAUGCAUGGGUAACCUACCCUCGAGUGGGGAAUAACUAGCCGAAAGGUUAGCUAAUACCGCAUACGUUUCCGGAACUUCGGUUUCGGAAAGAAAGCAAUACCGUGGGUAUUGCGCUCAUGGAUGGGCUCAUGUCCUAUCAGCUUGUUGGUGAGGUAACGGCUCACCAAGGCUUCGACGGGUAGCUGGUCUGAGAGGACGAUCAGCCACACUGGCACUGCGACACGGGCCAGACUCCUACGGGAGGCAGCAGUAAGGAAUAUUGCGCAAUGGACGAAAGUACUGACGCAGCGACGCCGCGU
RNAcentral lists this ribosomal RNA (384 nucleotides) under uncultured bacterium. RNAcentral describes it as "bacterial SSU rRNA". It matches the Rfam family "Bacterial small subunit ribosomal RNA", at positions 29 to 402 of the family's 1533-position model. The record is from RNAcentral.